AGGCAGAAAUGCAACCUAUGAGGAGGUCUCUGUCAAUGGAUUCCUCUUCUGCCACAGCAAUUUACAAUGCUGUGGCUAAUUUUUUGCCUGGCAAACAUCAAGAAAACUUGGAUAGUCAAAUAUUGCAACUGAAGUACUCGAAUUCAAAAAAUGUUUCAAAGCGUGGGAGUAGUGGGACUUCAAGCUUUGGGAAACUGAUGAAAAGUUCUUCAAUAGGGCAUGCAUUGCAAAAGGGACCUAUUUCAAUGAAAAGGUCCUUUUCAUCUAGUGGGAAGUCGUCAUCAUGCAGACAUAGCAGAAGCCAGGAUUCUAUCCUUCCGUUGUGGGCAUAAAGCUUUCUUUCCUUUGCAGUGAUGCCUCAUGCUUCAGGUUAGUUAACUGUAGAAUCAAGAAGUACAAACAUUCUCAAGGAUGAGCCAUUGAGCCUAUAUAUAAAUAUAUA
RNAcentral lists this unclassified non-coding RNA (442 nucleotides) under Hevea brasiliensis (rubber tree). Lineage: Eukaryota; Viridiplantae; Streptophyta; Magnoliopsida; Malpighiales; Euphorbiaceae. The record is from RNAcentral.